UCCCCGUUACCGGGGCAGUCUGAUAAGAAAAUACAACUUAUCACGAGGGUUGCGCUCGUUGAAGGACUUAACCUAACAUCUCACGACACGAGCUGACGACGGCCAUGCAUCACCUGUCACCGAGUUCCUUGCGGCACAGUCUAAUUUCUUAGACCUUCUCGGGAUGUCAAGCCUUGGUAAGGUUCUUCGCGUAGCAUCGAAUUAAACCACACGCUCCACCGCUUGUGCGGGUCCCCGUCAAUUCCUUUGAGUUUUAAGCUUGCGCUCGUACUCCCCAGGCGGCUUGCUUAACGCGUUAGCUUCACUACAGAACGGGUCGAAUCGUCCUACAGUCAGCAAGCAUCGUUUACGGCGUGGACUAC
RNAcentral lists this unclassified non-coding RNA (362 nucleotides) under uncultured bacterium. Its description in RNAcentral is "contains 16S-23S intergenic spacer region". The record is from RNAcentral.